GAGUUUGAUCAUGGCUCAGAUUGAACGCUGGCGGCAGGCCUAACACAUGCAAGUCGAACGGUAACAGGAAGCAGCUUGCUGCUUCGCUGACGAGUGGCGGACGGGUGAGUAAUGUCUGGGAAGCUGCCUGAUGGAGGGGGAUAACUACUGGAAACGGUAGCUAAUACCGCAUAAUGUCGCAAGACCAAAGAGGGGGACCUUCGGGCCUCUUGCCAUCGGAUGUGCCCAGAUGGGAUUAGCUUGUUGGUGGGGUAACGGCUCACCAAGGCGACGAUCCCUAGCUGGUCUGAGAGGAUGACCAGCCACACUGGAACUGAGACACGGUCCAGACUCCUACGGGAGGCAGCAGUGGGGAAUAUUGCACAAUGGGCGCAAGCCUGAUGCAGCCAUGCCGCGUGUAUGAAGAAGGCCUUCGGGUUGUAAAGUACUUUCAGCGGGGAGGAAGGGAGUAAAGUUAAUACCUUUGCUCAUUGACGUUACCCGCAGAAGAAGCACCGGCUAACUCCGUGCCAGCAGCCGCGGUAAUACGGAGGGUGCAAGCGUUAAUCGGAAUUACUGGGCGUAAAGCGCACGCAGGCGGUUUGUUAAGUCAGAUGUGAAAUCCCCGGGCUCAACCUGGGAACUGCAUCUGAUACUGGCAAGCUUGAGUCUCGUAGAGGGGGGUAGAAUUCCAGGUGUAGCGGUGAAAUGCGUAGAGAUCUGGAGGAAUACCGGUGGCGAAGGCGGCCCCCUGGACGAAGACUGACGCUCAGGUGCGAAAGCGUGGGGAGCAAACAGGAUUAGAUACCCUGGUAGUCCACGCCGUAAACGAUGUCGACUUGGAGGUUGUGCCCUUGAGGCGUGGCUUCCGGAGCUAACGCGUUAAGUCGACCGCCUGGGGAGUACGGCCGCAAGGCUAAAACUCAAAUGAAUUGACGGGGGCCCGCACAAGCGGUGGAGCAUGUGGUUUAAUUCGAUGCAACGCGAAGAACCUUACCUGGUCUUGACAUCCACGGAAGUUUUCAGAGAUGAGAAUGUGCCUUCGGGAACCGUGAGACAGGUGCUGCUUGGCUGUCGUCAGCUCGUGUUGUGAAAUGUUGGGUUAAGUCCCGCAACGAGCGCAACCCUUAUCCUUUGUUGCCAGCGGUCCGGCCGGGAACUCAAAGGAGACUGCCAGUGAUAAACUGGAGGAAGGUGGGGAUGACGUCAAGUCAUCAUGGCCCUUACGACCAGGGCUACACACGUGCUACAAUGGCGCAUACAAAGAGAAGCGACCUCGCGAGAGCAAGCGGACCUCAUAAAGUGCGUCGUAGUCCGGAUUGGAGUCUGCAACUCGACUCCAUGAAGUCGGAAUCGCUAGUAAUCGUGGAUCAGAAUGCCACGGUGAAUACGUUCCCGGGCCUUGUACACACCGCCCGUCACACCAUGGGAGUGGGUUGCAAAAGAAGUAGGUAGCUUAACCUUCGGGAGGGCGCUUACCACUUUGUGAUUCAUGACUGGGGUGAAGUCGAAACAAGGUA
RNAcentral lists this ribosomal RNA (1499 nucleotides) under metagenome. RNAcentral describes it as "bacterial SSU rRNA". It matches the Rfam family "Bacterial small subunit ribosomal RNA". The record is from RNAcentral.